This 177-nucleotide non-coding RNA is filed under the name Vagococcus fluvialis. The record is from RNAcentral. Lineage: Bacteria; Bacillati; Bacillota; Bacilli; Lactobacillales; Enterococcaceae.
UUUUUAUUUUGUUACGAUAAUCACGUGAUAGCGUAUGUGAAAAAUGGGAAUGAGGUGAGAACCCUCAGCAGCCCCUUUCUUCUGUAUAAUGGACGAAAUCUCAAUAGCCAUCGAAAGAGAAGGCGAGAGAGUAGGAUGAAAUUGAGUCAGAAUACCAUUUUUACAUAAUCUUUUCGA